UUGAACAUAUGCUCUGUUAAUCUCUUUGGCAGCUUCCUCCUCAUCAUCAUCAUCUGCCUUUUCUAAACAUUCUUCCACACGGUUCAAAACUAUAAUGUCUUUAAAACAGUGGUCUUACCAAAAUAGGUGAAACCCGCAAAUAGCCUCUUCUACUUCUUUUCCUCCUCCUUCUCCUCUGACCUCAUGACCUUCUGGAACGGCGAAGUCUUUUUUGACUUGUGAGUUAUCUUCCGAUGAUGAUUUUUCUGCUGCGGCUCCUUCGGUUCCUGCAGG
RNAcentral lists this long non-coding RNA (273 nucleotides) under Coffea arabica (coffee). RNAcentral describes it as "long non-coding RNA (CARA_LNC007623)". Lineage: Eukaryota; Viridiplantae; Streptophyta; Magnoliopsida; Gentianales; Rubiaceae. The record is from RNAcentral.